AUUGAACGCUGGCGGAAUGCUUUACACAUGCAAGUCGAACGAUGAACCUUAGCUUGCUAAGGGGAUUAGUGGCGAACGGGUGAGUAAUAUAUCGGAACGUGCCUUGUAAUGGGGGAUAUCUAGUCGAAAGAUUAGCUAAUACCGCAUACGCCCUGAGGGGGAAAGUAGGGGAUCUUCGGACCUUACGUUAUAAGAGCGGCCGAUAUCUGAUUAGCUAGUUGGUGGGGUAAUGGCCUACCAAGGCGACGAUCAGUAGCUGGUCUGAGAGGACGACCAGCCACACUGGAACUGAGACACGGUCCAGACUCCUACGGGAGGCAGCAGUGGGGAAUGUUGGACAAUGGGCGCAAGCCUGAUCCAGCCAUUCCGCGUGAGUGAAGAAGGCCUUCGGGUUGUAAAGCUCUUUCGCAAGGGAAGAAAACUUACCAUCGAAUAAAUGGUGAGGCUGACGGUACCUUGAGAAGAAGCACCGGCUAACUACGUG
RNAcentral lists this ribosomal RNA (484 nucleotides) under uncultured bacterium. Its description in RNAcentral is "partial 16S ribosomal RNA". It matches the Rfam family "Bacterial small subunit ribosomal RNA", at positions 30 to 507 of the family's 1533-position model. The record is from RNAcentral.